UGGGGAAUAUUGCACAAUGGGCGAAAGCCUGAUGCAGCGACGCCGCGUGAGGGAUGACGGCCUUCGGGUUGUAAACCUCUUUCAGCAGGGAAGAAGCGAAAGUGACGGUACCUGCAGAAGAAGCGCCGGCUAACUACGUGCCAGCAGCCGCGGUAAUACGUAGGGCGCAAGCGUUGUCCGGAAUUAUUGGGCGUAAAGAGCUCGUAGGCGGUUAGUCGCGUCUGCUGUGAAAACUCGAGGCUCAACCUCGGGCUUGCAGUGGGUACGGGCUGACUAGAGUGCGGUAGGGGUGACUGGAAUUCCUGGUGUAGCGGUGGAAUGCGCAGAUAUCAGGAGGAACACCGAUGGCGAAGGCAGGUCACUGGGCCGCAACUGACGCUGAGGAGCGAAAGCAUGGGGAGCGAACAGGAUUAGAUACCCUGGUAGUCCAUGCCGUAAACGUUGGGCACUAGGUGUGGGUCCAUUCCACGGAUUCCGUGCCGCAGCAAACGCAUUAAGUGCCCCGCCUGGGGAGUACGGCCGCAAGGCUAAAACUCAAAGGAAUUGACGGGGUCAUAGCUGUU
Molecule: ribosomal RNA, 563 nt
Filed under: uncultured bacterium
Lineage: Bacteria
Description: partial 16S ribosomal RNA
Rfam family: Bacterial small subunit ribosomal RNA
Source: RNAcentral